This 250-nucleotide ribosomal RNA is filed under the name uncultured bacterium. RNAcentral's name for it is "partial 16S ribosomal RNA". It matches the Rfam family "Bacterial small subunit ribosomal RNA", at positions 524 to 773 of the family's 1533-position model. The record is from RNAcentral.
GACAGAGGUGGCAAGCGUUGUUCGGAAUUAUUGGGCGUAAAGCGCGUGUAGGCGGUUUUUUAAGUCUGAUGUGAAAGCCCCGGGCUCAACCUGGGAAGUGCAUUGGAAACUGGGAGACUUGAAUACGGGAGAGGGUAGUGGAAUUCCUGGUGUAGGAGUGAAAUCCGUAGAUAUCAGGAGGAACACCGGUGGCGAAGGCGGCUGCCUGGACCGAUAUUGACGCUGAGACGCGAAAGCGUGGGGAGCAAAC